UACCAGCACCCCGAGUGGUCGGGACGAUUAUUGGGCCUAAAGCAUCCGUAGCCGGUCCUGCAAGUCUUCCGUUAAAUCCAGCUGCUCAACAGAUGGGCUGCGGAAGAUACUAUAGAGCUAGGAGGCGGGAGAGGCAAGCGGUACUCGAUGGGUAGGGGUAAAAUCCGUUGAUCCAUUGAAGACCACCAGUGGCGAAGGCGGCUUGCCAGAACGCGCUCGACGGUGAGGGAUGAAAGCUGGGGGAGCAAACCGG
RNAcentral lists this ribosomal RNA (253 nucleotides) under uncultured bacterium. RNAcentral's name for it is "partial 16S ribosomal RNA". It matches the Rfam family "Archaeal small subunit ribosomal RNA", at positions 474 to 727 of the family's 1478-position model. The record is from RNAcentral.